CAGAGGUCCCGAGCGUUGUUCGGAUUCACUGGGCGUAAAGGGUGCGUAGGUGGCAUGGUAAGUUUGAUGUGAAAGCUCAGGGCUCAACCCUGAAAUGGCAUUGAAUACUACUGUGCUGGAGGUUUGGAGGGGGGACUGGAAUUCUUGGUGUAGCAGUGAAAUGCGUAGAUAUCAAGAGGAACACCAGUGGCGAAGGCGAGUCCCUGGACAACACCUGACACUGAGGCACGAAAGCUAGGGGAGCAAACAGGAUUAGAUACCCUGGUAGUCCUAGCCCUAAACGGUGCGCAUUUGCUGUAGGAGGAAUCGACCCCUUCUGUGGCGAAGCUAACGCGAUAAAUGCGCCGCCUGGGGAGUACGGUCGCAAGAUUA
RNAcentral lists this ribosomal RNA (372 nucleotides) under uncultured organism. Its description in RNAcentral is "bacterial SSU rRNA". It matches the Rfam family "Bacterial small subunit ribosomal RNA", at positions 526 to 896 of the family's 1533-position model. The record is from RNAcentral.